Molecule: ribosomal RNA, 1516 nt
Filed under: Ruminococcus sp. AF17-1AC
Lineage: Bacteria; Bacillati; Bacillota; Clostridia; Eubacteriales; Oscillospiraceae
Also listed under: 3 other names
Description: bacterial SSU rRNA
Rfam family: Bacterial small subunit ribosomal RNA
Source: RNAcentral
UUUAAUUAAGAGUUUGAUCCUGGCUCAGGACGAACGCUGGCGGCACGCUUAACACAUGCAAGUCGAACGAGAGAAGAGAAGCUUGCUUUUCUGAUCUAGUGGCGGACGGGUGAGUAACACGUGAGCAAUCUGCCUUUCAGAGGGGGAUACCGAUUGGAAACGAUCGUUAAUACCGCAUAAUAUAAUUGAACCGCAUGAUUUGAUUAUCAAAGAUUUAUCGCUGAAAGAUGAGCUCGCGUCUGAUUAGCUAGUUGGUAAGGUAACGGCUUACCAAGGCGACGAUCAGUAGCCGGACUGAGAGGUUGAUCGGCCACAUUGGGACUGAGACACGGCCCAGACUCCUACGGGAGGCAGCAGUGGGGAAUAUUGCACAAUGGAGGAAACUCUGAUGCAGCGAUGCCGCGUGAGGGAAGAAGGUUUUAGGAUUGUAAACCUCUGUCUUCAGGGACGAAAAAAGACGGUACCUGAGGAGGAAGCUCCGGCUAACUACGUGCCAGCAGCCGCGGUAAUACGUAGGGAGCGAGCGUUGUCCGGAAUUACUGGGUGUAAAGGGAGCGUAGGCGGGAUCGCAAGUCAGAUGUGAAAACUAUGGGCUUAACCCAUAAACUGCAUUUGAAACUGUGGUUCUUGAGUGAAGUAGAGGUAAGCGGAAUUCCUAGUGUAGCGGUGAAAUGCGUAGAUAUUAGGAGGAACAUCAGUGGCGAAGGCGGCUUACUGGGCUUUAACUGACGCUGAGGCUCGAAAGCGUGGGGAGCAAACAGGAUUAGAUACCCUGGUAGUCCACGCCGUAAACGAUGAUUACUAGGUGUGGGGGGACUGACCCCUUCCGUGCCGCAGCAAACGCAAUAAGUAAUCCACCUGGGGAGUACGACCGCAAGGUUGAAACUCAAAGGAAUUGACGGGGGCCCGCACAAGCAGUGGAGUAUGUGGAUUAAUUCGAAGCAACGCGAAGAACCUUACCAGGUCUUGACAUCGUAUGCAUAGCUCAGAGAUGAGUGAAAUCUCUUCGGAGACAUAUAGACAGGUGGUGCAUGGUUGUCGUCAGCUCGUGUCGUGAGAUGUUGGGUUAAGUCCCGCAACGAGCGCAACCCUUACUGUUAGUUGCUACGCAAGAGCACUCUAGCAGGACUGCCGUUGACAAAACGGAGGAAGGUGGGGAUGACGUCAAAUCAUCAUGCCCCUUAUGACCUGGGCCUCACACGUACUACAAUGGCUGUAAACAGAGGGAUGCAAAGCCGCGAGGUGGAGCGAACCCCUAAAAGCAGUCUUAGUUCGGAUUGUAGGCUGCAACCCGCCUACAUGAAGUCGGAAUUGCUAGUAAUCGCAGAUCAGCAUGCUGCGGUGAAUACGUUCCCGGGCCUUGUACACACCGCCCGUCACGCCAUGGGAGUCGGUAACACCCGAAGCCUGUAGUCUAACCGCAAGGAGGACGCAGUCGAAGGUGGGAUUGAUGACUGGGGUGAAGUCGUAACAAGGUAGCCGUAUCGGAAGGUGCGGCUGGAUCACCUCCUUUCUA